Molecule: ribosomal RNA, 468 nt
Filed under: uncultured bacterium
Lineage: Bacteria
Description: partial 16S ribosomal RNA
Rfam family: Bacterial small subunit ribosomal RNA
Source: RNAcentral
GACGAACGCUGGCGGCGUGCUUAACACAUGCAAGUCGAACGGAAAGGCCCUGCUUUUGUGGGGUGCUCGAGUGGCGAACGGGUGAGUAACACGUGUGUAACCUGCCCUUGACUUUGGGAUAACUUCAGGAAACUGGGGCUAAUCCCGGCUAGGAGCUCCUGCUGCAUGGUGGGGGUUGGAAAGUUUCGGCGGUUGGGGAUGGACUGGCGUCUUAUCAUCUUGUUGGUGGGGUAGUGGCUUACCAAGGCUUUGAUGGGUAGCCGGCCUGAGAGGGUUACCGGCCACAUUGGGCCUGAGAUACGGCCCAGACGCGUACGGGAGGCAGGAGUGGGGAAUAUUGCACAAUGGGCGGAGGCCGGAUGCAGCAACGCCGCGUGCGGUAUGACGGCCUUCGGGUUGUAAACCACUUUCGCCUGUGACGAAGCGUGAGUGACGGUAAUGGGUAAAGAAGCACCGGCUAACUACGUG